Molecule: long non-coding RNA, 2219 nt
Organism: Triticum aestivum (bread wheat)
Lineage: Eukaryota; Viridiplantae; Streptophyta; Magnoliopsida; Poales; Poaceae
Exons: 3
Source: RefSeq, a predicted model, not a curated record
CUUAGCUGUCAUCAUCUAUCCGCAAAAGCUGGAGGCCACACACACGCGCGCGGCACACCCACACGCCACGCAUGCCACUUGACUACUUGAGAUAUUUGCAACAACCAUAAAAGGAAGCUUUUCACAAAUACUACACUGGUAAUGUGUAUCUGGCACCCAAGUAUCCAACCAAUCAAUUGCGCUUUUCAUUUUCAGGCCACCUACAGGUUGAGGUUAGCAUGACUAGGUUAUUUUUCCUUUGCAAUUUUUUUUAUUGCGUUCCUACUGAAUACACAAAACAGAAAAAUGUGGUAAAAAGGUUCUUAACUCAGUGUUUAAUCACAGGCAACCUGUAGAUGCAAAAUGAGAACAAUUGAGACAUAACUAUUUCUUUGUUAUGCGUCCAUUGUAAAAAAAAAACAUGCUAUGUGCUUAAUCUGGAUGAUCAUGUCCUCACAUUGUUUUCCUCAAUCAUGGUUGCAUUAUAUUUUUUUAUUUUUCAUGCUUAAGGAAUUUUUUCCUCAAGUUCCCGCUGCAACGCGCGGGGUAUCUACUAGUUUAGAGAAUGGUUAUGUAGUUUUAAAAAGAGUCAUCCUAUACUUUUUUGAAAUACUCAUUCGCAACUUUUAAAAAUGUUAAUGCAAUUUUGAAAACCAUGUUUUUGAAAAGUAAAAGAGAAAAGGGAAAAUAAAAAAGUAUAUGAAGUUUGAAUCACACACGGGUUGAAGCUAUGCAAUGGGCCAAGCAACACUACACUGGCAGCCUGGAAUAUUUGGAAAGAGAGGAACAACUUAAUAUUUAAGCAAGUCGCACCUAUAAUCAGGACUUGGGCAGAAAGGACAAGGGUGAUUUGACUUGGCCCAAAUAUAUGAUUUCCCCAGAGCUUAGUGAUUAUAUCACUGUCUCUUUUUUCUUGAAAAUUGUAACUAACUAUUGAUCCUGAUUUAGCUCUCUCUAUAUGUUUUGUUUUUUUAAGGGAAUUCCUUUCCUCUUCCUUAUGUAAAUAUAACUAUCUGUGUUUUCUUAAUGUAGCAACAAUAGAAGCCUCUCCUGCUGUUUAAAGCUAAAAACAGGUAUAUGAAAAACAGGAAGAAAAGGAAAUAGUAAAAAAAUAAAAAGGAAAAACACACCAAAAACUCGCAAAAAAACAAGCCCACACUCUUACCCGCAAAAGUCGGGCAAGCAAAUCAGACCUAGCCGCAAAGAAACCUGGACAACGUGAUGUCCUUUACUAGCCCUGACCCAAGUCGGCGACUGUGUGCUAUAUGCCGCUACAAGCGGUAUUUCCCAUACGACGCUCACCACAUCAAUUUGGUGACUAAACGCACACUGGCAUGCGCACUGCGUUGACCCAUUUGCAGCUGACUUUCCCCUCAAAAAGUUUUUUUGCGGCUAACUAUUUUCCCUUUUUUACUAUUUCCUCUUCUUUUACUUGGUUUCUACAGCUUUUUUCUUCUUUCAUUUUUAUAUAUUUUUUCUUUUUUGUAACUUUCCUGUUUUACAUCUUAUAAUUUAUUACUAUCUUUCAAUAUCAUAAAGAUUUUUCAAACUCCAUGUAAAUUUCUAAAAUGCACUCAUAUCUUUAAUUUAACAUUUUCUUUCAUGGUUAUUUUUAUAAUUCUUGAAAACAAAAUUAUGUAUUUCUAAAAUAAUUUUCUUGCAUUAUAAGAAAAUAUUCAAGCAUUUGUUUAUCUUCCGGCAUUUCAAAAAAUAUUAAUACAAUGAGGAAAAACUAUAUUUUUGUAAAAGAAAAUUUAUGGAGAAACAAAAUCAUGUCAAAAUGAGGCAACCCAGAGAAAUAUAUUGGAAAAUCAAAAUUAUAAAAAAACAAUGAAAAAAGAAAAUAAAAGGGGACAAGUAGGAGGAGUGACGCCAGUGCUCCAGCUGCAUUAUCUGCCGCGGUAGCGGCAAAUAGGUGCCCCUGUUGUUGGCGGCAAAUACGACUCAGUUAACUCGCCUUCUAUUGUUCAGCCUAGGCUGUGUAGAAGCCAUACAACAGGCCCUGGUGUCACUUUUACUUAUGGUUAUUUUCCUAGUUCGAUUCUGCUGCUUGCGAUUCGAUCGACUGUCACACGACGACCUCAAGGCUCAUCCACGAGGUUUCAUUCAUUUCCAGUCACUUUUGUAGAUUCUAGUUUAGUUCAUCUUCUUGCAACGCCGUUAUUUUUUCUUUUAUUUCCCCAGAGGUCUGAAUCCUGAAAGCAGAAGUUCAUGGACCCAAAGUCCUAUAGUUUUGUUUU